AGCCUACGGGACGCAGCAGUGGGGAAUAUUGCACAAUGGGGGAAACCCUGAUGCAGCGACGCCGCGUGAAGGAAGAAGUAUUUCGGUAUGUAAACUUCUAUCAGCAGGGAAGAAAAUGACGGUACCUGACUAAGAAGCCCCGGCUAACUACGUGCCAGCAGCCGCGGUAAUACGUAGGGGGCAAGCGUUAUCCGGAUUUACUGGGUGUAAAGGGGGCGUAGACGGCAGAGCAAGUCUGAAGUGAAAGCCCGCGGCCCAACUGCGGGACUGCUUUGGAAACUGCCCGGCUAGAGUGCUGGAGAGGG
Molecule: ribosomal RNA, 305 nt
Filed under: uncultured bacterium
Lineage: Bacteria
Description: bacterial SSU rRNA
Rfam family: Bacterial small subunit ribosomal RNA
Source: RNAcentral